GUAUUAUGAUGAAAUCCAUGCGUGUCAACUGACUCUGUUGACCCUGCGGUGUUGUUACCCAUGUUAGCGUUUUGCUAAUGUGAGCUUUCACCACAACAGGACUUCAGAGACAUGAUCACACCUUCACACUUCUGAAUAC
This is a small nucleolar RNA of Cynoglossus semilaevis (tongue sole), 139 nucleotides long. Ensembl annotates it as small nucleolar RNA SNORD10. NCBI's taxonomy places the organism in Eukaryota, Metazoa, Chordata, Actinopteri, Pleuronectiformes, Cynoglossidae. The record is from Ensembl.